UACGUGGGGUGCAAGCGUUAAUCGGAAUUACUGGGCGUAAAGCGUACGCAGGCGGCUUUGCAAGACAGGUGUGAAAUCCCCGGGCCUAACCUGGGAACUGCAUUUGUGACUGCAUGGCUAGAGUUUGUCAGAGGGGGGUGGAAUUCCACGUGUAGCAGUGAAAUGCGUAGAUAUGUGGAGGAACACCGAUGGCGAAGGCAGCCCCCUGGGAUGUGACUGACGCUCAUGUACGAAAGCGUGGGGAGCAAACAGG
This 253-nucleotide ribosomal RNA is filed under the name uncultured bacterium. RNAcentral's name for it is "partial 16S ribosomal RNA". It matches the Rfam family "Bacterial small subunit ribosomal RNA", at positions 524 to 776 of the family's 1533-position model. The record is from RNAcentral.